UUUUAGCCACUCGGCACGAAACUCGGAUAGCUGGUACAUCUGAGGGUCCACCAGAAGAACGGGAGGGACACUCGGGCUGCUGAAAUCCUGCUCGUUGAUUGAAGGGUCGCAGAAGGGGCAAACAGGGAGACAACGAAGCAGAAGGGAGGCAGAUUCCGAGAGCCCCGAAGGGCGGGGUGAGGAUUCUUUUACUGCGUAGGGGUAGGAGGGUUUAGCAUUCGAGGGUACAAUCGGGAGAAGGCUAAAGGGAGGGGAAAUAUAACAUUAACCAGUGGGGAAAAGGGAAAGGAGUGUUCUUGGUGGAAGAACCAAAGGGGAAACGUGGAACAGAGAAGAUUCUAGGCUAAGGGGCAGACUUGAACUAUAACUGACAGGACAGGGGGAGGGUACAAUUCUCUUACAAAAGGGGGUGGAGAACUCAUACAACUGCUGUUUCCCAUGGCAACCCUAGACUGCCUUCCCCAACCCCUCCUCCUACACCAGUGACAGCUUUUCACACUGAAGGGCAGUGCUAUUGUAUAACAAACACUUAACUCUUAGCCCAGCCGGGCUCGCUGGCUACUUUUGCAAGCUUUUUACCAACUAGCGAUGCUUGUAAGCGGUGCUUGUAACUCCUAGCUUGUACCACGCUCCCACUAGCUGCGCUAUCAGCUAGCGGCGUUCAAAGCAGCUCCUCAAACCGCGGCUUGUGCCCGCGCGCCCGCUGCGCUAUCAGCUGGGCUGCGCCUAAAGCACCUUUGCAAGCCCCGACUUAAGCCCCGCGCCGCGCUCCCCCAGCUCGCCAGAGACAGCCCGUGCCACGCAUGCGCACCACCCGCUCUAUCAGGUAGAGUGCGCACUACCCGCACUAUCAGGUAGUGUGGCUGAGAGCUGCCCCGCGCAUGCGCACUACCCGCACUAGCAGGUAGUGUGGGCUGAGAGCUGCCCUGCGCAUGCGCUCCCUAGCACCGCCGCGCCGCGUCUCUGUAUCGUAGCAACGCCGCACCGUUCCACUCACACAUGCACACACACGCACAAGCACGCACGUCCGGACGUAACAGACACACUACACUGCAAUCGGGACACACACCACACACUGAAAUCGCGAUUUCGCCCUCCCCGAGCCGCGCUAUCAGCUGGGGAGGUCCUCCCGCCGCCGGCCUCUCCCCCGAUGGCGGUCUGCUUGCAAGCCCCUAGGCAAACCUGCGCGCAAAAACAUCUUUUUGCGACUUAUCAGUGCCAACCUUAAGAAAAUAAAUUAAUACAUACCGCUUUCAUCCGCUAGUCGACGGGCCGUGGUCUGCUCCCCGCAGUGUACAGCCGAGGCGCAGAGUCCCUCCGGGGAAAAGCCCCGUGGCGCCUGAGGGUGUCUGCUCCCAACCGGACCUGCGGGUGAGCAGAGCAGUCCCUUCGUGGUCGCCAACUGAAACGAUACGCGGAAUAAAUAGACUCCAUAACCUGGGGUAGUUAUGAAGUGGACGUUCCAUAUGCAAAACACUGCACGACUUUUUCAUGCAUAUUCAACCCCUGGCCCCGCCUGUCCUCGCUUCUCAUGCUAAGUAAGUCCACGCCCUUCUGGGCAUGCGUGGUUUGCUGUGGUGGUCGUACGGGUGUCUCUUGGUGGUCCUGAGGCUGAAGAUUGUGGUUUUCCUCAUGAUUGAACUUUUGAACUUUUCCUCUCUGCGCGUGCGCUUUUAGUCCUUUGGUGCUUAUCUGAGUACGUCUGUCAGUCUUGAUAGGCUUGGAGACAGAGGAGCUUCUUUAUCUGGGUUCUUUGCUUCUUCUGGUAUUGUUCUUUAUGCAAGAAGCUUCAGAAAUUUGCAUUUUCCUUUGCCCUUUGUAUUAGGCAGAGGUUUCCUAAGCAAAAGGUAGAAAAUUCAACACAUAACUAUACAAGCUAAAUUAUAAAUGCUUAAUUCAUUUUGAUAACCUAAUUCUAAAAAUCUCUGUUUCACCUCGAGAGCUGUCACAGAGCAGAAGGGCAGAUGAGAUGCUGAAAAGCAGCAAAGCUGAACAGCCUGCCUCAGCUUCAGCAGUGUGCAAUUGACUGAAGGCGAAAAACCAAGCAGCAGAGCAGCAGGCUUCUGUGCGCACUGAAGGCAAUUGCAAGCAUGCAGCAGCUGCUCCUUGCCAAGCACAGGCAGCUGCCUAGGUUCUUGGUUCUUGACCAACUCACAGUUGCCCUUCUUUUCAGCAGCUGCCACCGUGUUCUCUGCAUCUCGCAGCCUCUGGGGAGCAACAAGAAUUUCCAAGGUGGGAUGCAUGACGACUAUGGCAAAACCCAGGAAAGUUGUCCUGGAACACCUUCCAUUGGCAUGCCAAGACUGAAUUCAACAGGCAGGAGAGCAGCAGCCACCGUCCUCCAGCUGUCUGCGAGCUUCGCACACAAGCCGGCUUCUUCGCGGCUUCGUUCUUCGCCUCUUGCAAGCUACCGCGAUCUCCGGCUGCCGGAGGACAAGAAGCGGCUACUUCGCGCACAGAUCACUGGAGCGGCAGCGGUGCGCUCCGGAGCGCCGCUUCUGCCGAAAGACUCCGGGAAGCGGCACUUGCUUUCGGCCAGCUCCGGAGCUGCGUAUUCUGCCUCUCUAGUCGCCUACAUCUUAGCCAAAAGCUUUUCCGCUCCAGUUCUCAAGGAGAAAGUGUACCAGCACUGCUCACUUAGCCCGACCUUGCCAAGAAAUAAGAUUUGCUGCACAUUCCAAGGACACUGCAUUUUCCUGGGCAAGCUGCAACCUUCUGGCAGAUGGCUGUGCUCUCUGCCCACUCCUGCCCAGUUCUUGGUACUAGCGGGCACGUUGCAGCCUGGCGAAGGCAAGAAACCUCUGAAACGAUACGCGGAAUAAAUAAAUAGACUCCAUAAGCUAGGGUAGUUAUGAAGUGGACGUUCCAUAUGCAAUACACUGCACAACUUUUUCAUGAGUAUUCAACCCCUGGCCCCGCCUGUCCUCGCUUCUCAUGCUAAGUAAGUCCACGCCCUUCUGGGCAUGCGUGGUUUGCUGUGGUGGUCGUACGGGGUCUCUUGGUGGUCCUGAGG
Molecule: long non-coding RNA, 3013 nt
Organism: Vidua chalybeata
Lineage: Eukaryota; Metazoa; Chordata; Aves; Passeriformes; Viduidae
Exons: 3
Source: RefSeq, a predicted model, not a curated record